GAUGAAGAACGUAGCGAAAUGCGAUACUUGGUGUGAAUUGCAGAAUCCCGUGAACCAUCGAGUCUUUGAACGCAAGUUGCGCCCGAAGCCAUUAGGCCGAGGGCACGCCUGCCUGGGCGUCACACGUCGUUGCCCCCCAUCUACUCCUUCGGGAUUGCGGGGGGCGGAUGAUGGCCUCCCGUGCGCCUCGUCGCGCGGUUGGCAUAAAUGCCAAGUCCUCGGCGACGCACGCCACGACAAUCGGUGGUUGCGAAACCUCGGUUGCCCGUCGUGUGCGGUCGUCGCGCAUCGAGGGCUCGAAAAAAUUGCCGGGCUCCGGCUCGGCUUUCAACGCAACCCCAGGUCAGGCGGGGUUACCCGCUGAAUUUAAGCAUAUCAAUAAGCGGAGGA
Molecule: unclassified non-coding RNA, 390 nt
Filed under: soil metagenome
Description: partial contains 5.8S ribosomal RNA, internal transcribed spacer 2, and large subunit ribosomal RNA
Rfam family: 5.8S ribosomal RNA (bases 1-122)
Source: RNAcentral